UAUCUUACUUUUGUUAAACAAUGAAAAAUAAUACAAUAAAUACAGGUUGGUGGAACUCUCUUAUCUAAUAAGUGAGAAAAAACCUAUAUGUAUGUAACAUAAAAUUUAAAAAGGCUUAUC
This is a regulatory RNA element of Polaribacter atrinae, 120 nucleotides long. It matches the Rfam family "Bacteroidete tryptophan peptide leader RNA". The record is from Rfam. Lineage: Bacteria; Pseudomonadati; Bacteroidota; Flavobacteriia; Flavobacteriales; Flavobacteriaceae.